GCCGAGAUCGCAUAGCCUGGUAUUGCGCGUGACUGGAAAUCACGUGUCCUUGAGACUCGGGAGUUCAAAUCCCCCUCUCGGCG
Molecule: transfer RNA, 83 nt
Filed under: bacterium
Lineage: Bacteria
Also listed under: 2 other names
Description: tRNA-Ser
Rfam family: tRNA
About the family: Transfer RNA (tRNA) molecules are approximately 80 nucleotides in length. Their secondary structure includes four short double-helical elements and three loops (D, anti-codon, and T loops). Further hydrogen bonds mediate the characteristic L-shaped molecular structure. tRNAs have two regions of fundamental functional importance: the anti-codon, which is responsible for specific mRNA codon recognition, and the 3' end, to which the tRNAs corresponding amino acid is attached (by aminoacyl-tRNA synthetases). tRNAs cope with the degeneracy of the genetic code in two manners: having more than one tRNA (with a specific anti-codon) for a particular amino acid; and 'wobble' base-pairing, i.e. permitting non-standard base-pairing at the 3rd anti-codon position.
Source: RNAcentral